GACGAACGCUGGCGGCGUGCUUAACACAUGCCAGUCGAACGGAAAGGCCCUGCUUUUGUGGGGUGCUCGAGUGGCGAACGGGUGAGAAACACGUGAGUAACCUGCCCUUGACUUUGGGAUAACUUCAGGAAACUGGGGCUAAUACCGGAUAGGAGCUCCUGCUGCAUGGUGGGGGUUGGAAAGUUUCGGCGGUUGGGGAUGGACUCGCGGCUUAUCAGCUUGUUGGUGGGGUAGUGGCUUACCAAGGCUUUGACGGGUAGCCGGCCUGAGAGGGUGACCGGCCACAUUGGGACUGAGAUACGGCCCAGACUCCUACGGGAGGCAGCAGUGGGGAAUAUUGCACAAUGGGCGGAAGCCUGAUGCAGCAACGCCGCGUGCGGGAUGACGGCCUUCGGGUUGUAAACCGCUUUCGCCUGUGACGAAGCGUGAGUGACGGUAAUGGGUAAAGAAGCACCGGCUAACUACGUG
This 468-nucleotide ribosomal RNA is filed under the name uncultured bacterium. Its description in RNAcentral is "partial 16S ribosomal RNA". It matches the Rfam family "Bacterial small subunit ribosomal RNA", at positions 28 to 507 of the family's 1533-position model. The record is from RNAcentral.